RNAcentral lists this ribosomal RNA (427 nucleotides) under uncultured bacterium. Its description in RNAcentral is "partial 16S ribosomal RNA". It matches the Rfam family "Bacterial small subunit ribosomal RNA", at positions 355 to 774 of the family's 1533-position model. The record is from RNAcentral.
UGGGGAAUAUUGCACAAUGGGCGCAAGCCUGAUGCAGCCAUGCCGCGUGUGUGAAGAAGGCCUUCGGGUUGUAAAGCACUUUCAGCGAGGAGGAAGGCAGUCGUGUUAAUAGCACGAUUGAUUGACGUUACUCGCAGAAGAAGCACCGGCUAACUCCGUGCCAGCAGCCGCGGUAAUACGGAGGGUGCAAGCGUUAAUCGGAAUUACUGGGCGUAAAGCGCACGCAGGCGGUCUGUUAAGUCAGAUGUGAAAUCCCCGCGCUUAACGUGGGAACUGCAUUUGAAACUGGCAAGCUAGAGUCUUGUAGAGGGGGGUAGAAUUCCAGGUGUAGCGGUGAAAUGCGUAGAGAUCUGGAGGAAUACCGGUGGCGAAGGCGGCCCCCUGGACAAAGACUGACGCUCAGGUGCGAAAGCGUGGGGAGCAAACA